AUGGAGGCGCCCAUCAGUGCAUCACAGGGAGCCAUGCGGUCCCUUCCUGGUAAGCUGGAGUUGUUGCUAUCAGGACCCAAGCAGGGGCUGCGGGCAGAGGAGAAGAACAAGCUCCGUUUCCUCCAAGCCGAUCUCCAGGGACUGAUCGAUAACUACCUAUUCGAGCCAUCUGAGGUGGAGUCCCCUGCUUCGACGGCCAGCUUCUGGAUGAAGGAUGUGCGCGACAUGUCGUAUGACAUCGACGACUUCAUCUACGAACUCACCAACGUCGGUGACGCCACCGUUGCCAGGAUCAGUGUCGUCCAGAAAUCCCCUCGUGUUAAGAUCUCUCGGUUUCCGGAGAAGCUGAAACGGCGACAAUGGAUCUCCGAUGAGAUCUCAGGGUUCAGGACUCGCGUCAAGGAAGCCAUUCAACGGCACAAAGCCUAUCUUGGUGGCUGCAGGUGGCAACCUAGCAGCAGCGGGGAGCUGGGUGAACACCAACACUCUGCUCCAUCACCAUGCUGCCAGGCUGCUAUUCGCCUUAUUGGUAUGGACAGCUCCAUCAAACAGCUUUGCGGAUGGUUGGCUAACGAUGGACAGCCAGAGCACAAGGUGGCGUCGAUAGUUGGAACUGGUGGGGUUGGGAAGACCACCCUGGCCAGAGAAGUGUACAGUAAGCUUCGAGGCCAGUUCGAGUGCCGAGGUUUUGUGCGGAUACACCGGAAGCCAAACAUGAAGAUGCACCUCGCUAGCAUACUUUCGCAAGUUCGACGGCACCAGAUCUCCGAUGCUUGCGAGGUGCAUAAACUGAUCUUCGAGAUCAAAGCACACCUGCAAGAUAAGACGUACAUAAUUGUAAUUGAUAAUCUGUGGGCAUCAUCAACCUGGGAUAUUAUCAACCAUGCUUUGCCGAAGGGAAAUUGUUGCAGUAGGAUAUUAGCAACGACCGAAGUUGAAGCCAUAGCACAGACAUGCGCAGAUACCUCCAAGUAUAUGCCUUCAAAGAAAGAAAGCAACCCCAAGUAUAUCUUCAAGAAGGAACCGCUAAGUGAACAUGAGUCAAGAGAACUAUUUUUAAGUACAGUUUUUGGCCAUGAAGCUGAAUGUCCUCAGGGCCUCAAGGAAGUUUCAAAUGAAAUUAUAAAAAGAAGUGGUGGCAAUCCGCUAGCAAUUAUUAUAUUGGCGAGUCUUUUUGCAGGUCAGCCAGCCAGCAGCAUAGAGCAAUGGAAUUACAUCAAGAAUUCGCUGAGUUCUGAUUUAAGCACGGAUACUAGUUUGGAAGGGAUAAAACAAGUCGUCAACCUUGGCUAUGACAAUCUUCCUCACAGUUUGAAAGCAUGCAUGCUAUAUCUAUGUUUGUAUGAAGAGGACUGUGUAAUCUGGAAGGAUGAUUUGGUGAAGCAGUGGAUAGCUGAAGGUUUCAUCCACGCAAUGGAAGGGAACAGUGGGAAGGAAGUUGCACAAAGCUAUUUUGAUGAGCUUGUUAACAGAGGAAUGAUCCAACCUGUGGAUAUCAACUGCAAUGAUGAAAUUCUUUCAUGUAGAGUGCACGACAUGGUACUUCACUUUAUUAGAUACAAGUCCAUGGAAGAGAAUUUUAGCAUUGCAUUAGAUCAUUCCCAGACUGCUGUAAGGCUUGCUGACAAGGUUCGUCGGCUAGCUCUCCACUUCGGCAAUGUCGAACAUGCCACACCACCAAUGCCAGCAAGUAUGAGACUGUCACAAGUUCGAUCUCUUGUCUUUUCUGGAUUGCUCAAGUGCAUGCCUUCCAUUGUGGAGUUCCGGUUUAUUCAGGUUCUGAUCCUUAAAUUUUGGGCUGAUCCUGAUAACAGGAGUGACAACCUUACUGGCUCUGAUGACCUGAGUGGCAACAUCACUGAACCAGAUUACUUAAGUGACAAUCUCACUGAACCUGAUGAUCUGAGUUGUAAUCUAACUGAAAUUUCAGAGCUCUUCCAACUGAGGUAUUUUCAUCUCGAUGCAAGUCAUAUGAGUGUGGAGCUUCCAACACAGAUGAAACGGCUAAAAGAUUUGGUGGCAUGGGAAAUUGAUGCCGAUGUAACUGCAGUUCCAUCAGAUAUUGUCGAUCUGCCGGGCUUGUUCUUCCUCAGUAUUCCUAGAGAGGCAAAUCUGCCCACUGGUAUUGGCCGCAUGUCAUCUCUUCGCACUCUGGGAGUUAUCGAUCUCAGCAAGAACUCAACAGAAAAUAUUAUGUGCCUUGGUGAGCUGACCAAUCUCCAGGAUCUUCGUCUCACAUGUUCCACAUUACAGCCUGAUAACCUGGAAAGGAACUUGGAAUGCCUGGACUUGAUAAUUCGGAAACUAAGCAAUCUCAAAUGUGUAACUCUGGUACCUGUAGUCUCCUCUCAUGUAAAAACUCAGGAUGAUGCCAGUUCUUCAAGCAUGACCAUUUCUUGGCAUGGCUUCACUAUGGUGUCCCUUUCUCCAGCCCUUCUUGAGAGACUAGAGUUGUCACGGCGCUGCUGCAUCUUCUCCAGCUUACCUGAGUGGACCAAGGAUCUUACGAAGCUUGGCAUCUUAAAGAUUGCAGUUAGGAAGGUGUCAACUGAAGAUGUUAUUAUUCUCAAAGGAUUGCCUUCCCUCACCUCUCUCUCGUUGUUCAUCUGGACCGCACCCAUAAGAAGGAUCAUCUUUGACAACAAGGGAUUCUUGGUUCUCAAGUACUUCAAGUUAGUGUGUCUUGCACCAUGCCUGGUUUUUCUGGAUGGAGCAAUGCCCAAAGUCCAAAAUCUCAAGCUAGGCUUUAAUGCUAAUAGAAUGGAGCGAUAUAGCUUGGUAGCUGCUGGGUUUGAGCACCUAACUAGCCUCAACGAGCUCACUGCAAAAAUUGGGGGCACCGGUACUAAUGAAUGCUGCAGAAAGUCCACACAUUUGGUGUUGGCUGAUGCCAUUAUAAAGCAUACAAGCACCCCCAUCAUCAAUGUACAAUGGUUGGAUUGGCAUUAUUGUGGUGAUGAAGAGAACUACAUAGAGGCUCCAAAAGAAAUACACGAAUGGACUUCGGAAAAACAAGGCAUGACAGCUGGGGAAAGCUCAGAUGAACAUGGAGUUCAAGAGAAUAACUUGGAGAGAGAUCCCAAGAAACCCGCCGAUUUAAGUGCAUGGCUUGCUGUCACCAGGACUGAUACGCUACCAGAAUCCACCUCCCAUGUGCAGAGUACAGUCCAUAACAUCUCGGAGGCAGAGGAUGAGUGGUUGGUACCCAGCCCUGGCGACGACGAGCUGGACCACGAGGGCACUGCAGUGGAGGAGGCGGUGCGGGUGGUGGAACAGUGGGACUUGCCAGCGGCCAGGCUCAGGCUUGUGUUCGAGUCGCCGGAGGACGCCGAGGAGUACCUUGCCGCGGCCACCUGCCUCGUUGGUGUGGCCGGUGCACACGUUGAGACGGUGCUGCAGGUCGCAAUGGCACGGCUCGAGGAGGAGUUCCGCCAGCUGCUGAUCGGCGGGACGGCAUCGCUCACUAUGGAGGACCCCCACGAUUCUCUCGUCUCUCGGCUCUCGCUUACCGUACCAACAUCCAAUUGUGCAUCUUCCAUCGACGUAGACGACACAUGGACCUCGGUCUCCGACGAGGGAGAUGAGUCUGCGGGUUGGGGCACAUCAAGUUCGGUCUCCGGUGGCGAGAUCUCAUCUUACGUCCCGGACACCAUUAGCACCCUCAAGGGCAUCAUGGACGUCAUGUAUAGCUCGUCUUACUUCAUUUCCCCGGAUACUGUCAGCACUCUCAAGGACAUCGCAGACGUCAUGCUGUGCGCUGGCUAUGCUGCAGAGCUUAGCCAGGCCUACAGUGAAGUGCGCCGGGGCAUGCUUGUUGAGUGUCUUGCCACACUUGGGGUCGACAAGAUGAACCUAGAGGAGGUGCAGCACAUGGAGUGGGUCGUCCUCAACGCCAAGAUGAGGGAGUGGAUCCAGGCACUCAAGGUGGUUGUCCAGGGCCUUCUUGCUGAGGAGCGCCGCAUCUGUAACCAGAUCUUCGCAGCCAAUGCCGACACUGUAGACGAAUGCUUUACAUGGGCAGCAAAGGGGUGCGUGCUACAGCUGCUUAACUUUGGUGAUGCCAUUACGAUUGAGAAGAGAUCGUCCGAGAAGCUGUUCCGUAUUCUUGAUAUGUAUGAAGCUCUAGCUGAGUUACUGCCUGAGCUCGAGGCCUUGUUCUCUGGCGAUGCAAGGGAUUUUAUCAAGGAAGAGGCAGAGCGGAUACUUGUGAGGUUUGGGGAUGCAGUGCGUGGUGCAUUUUCUGAGUUUGCCAAUGUGAUAAGGGGGGAGACUUCUUGCAGAUUAGUGCCAGGUGGCGAGAUCCAUCCGAUGACACGUUACGUCAUGAACUAUGUAGUAGCGGCUACAAAUUACAGUUGCCUGAAUCAUCUUCUUGAUGGCAGUCAUACUAAGGUGAAGAAUACAGAGGUGACUCCUUCACGACACUGCAUGCAGACACUAAUCACACAUCUAUUGGAUAAGAUUGAGAAUAAAUCAAAGCUGUAUUAUGAUGAGGCGCUGCAGAACAUCUUUUUGAUCAACAAUCUAUGGUACAUUCUGCACAAGGUGAAUGAUUCAGAACUGAAGACUGUGCUUGGGGAUAACUGGAUCCGUAAACAACAUGGUCAGAUCAUCAGUACGUACUCCACAGGGUACUUCCGAUCUUCAUGGUAUACGGUUGUAGAUUGUCUGAGGGAUGAUGGGCUGCCACAUGCAACAGGUUCAUCGAGUGCACUCAUGGAUGCUCUGAAGGAAAGGUUCAAGAAUUUCAACUUGACCUACGAAGAGUUAUACAGGACACAGACAGCAUGGAAGGUUGUGGAUCCUCAGCUCAGAAAGAAGAUGCAGAUUUUCAUCUCAGAGAAUGUCAUUCCAGCAUACCGUUCGUUUGUUAGAAGGUACCGAGUCCACCUAGAGGGGAAAAAGAAUUUGGCAAGGUAUAUAAAAUAUAGUACUGAGGAUUUGGAAAACCAGAUCUUAGAUUUGUUUGAAGGGAUAAGAUUGGGAUAG
This 4989-nucleotide ribosomal RNA is filed under the name Triticum aestivum (bread wheat). Its description in RNAcentral is "partial small subunit ribosomal RNA". Lineage: Eukaryota; Viridiplantae; Streptophyta; Magnoliopsida; Poales; Poaceae. The record is from RNAcentral.